RNAcentral lists this ribosomal RNA (492 nucleotides) under uncultured bacterium. RNAcentral's name for it is "partial 16S ribosomal RNA". It matches the Rfam family "Bacterial small subunit ribosomal RNA", at positions 29 to 507 of the family's 1533-position model. The record is from RNAcentral.
AGUGAACGCUGGCGGCAGGCCUAACACAUGCAAGUCGAACGGCAGCACAGUAAGAGCUUGCUCUUACGGGUGGCGAGUGGCGGACGGGUGAGGAAUACAUCGGAAUCUACUUUUUCGUGGGGGAUAACGUAGGGAAACUUACGCUAAUACCGCAUACGACCUACGGGUGAAAGCAGGGGAUCUUCGGACCUUGCGCGAUUGAAUGAGCCGAUGUCGGAUUAGCUAGUUGGGGGGGUAAAGGCCCACCAAGGCGACGAUCCGUAGCUGGUCUGAGAGGAUGAUCAGCCACACUGGAACUGAGACACGGUCCUGACUCCUACGGGAGGCAGCAGUGGGGAAUAUUGGACAAUGGGCGCAAGCCUGAUCCAGCCAUACCGCGUGGGUGAAGAAGGCCUUCGGGUUGUAAAGCCCUUUUGUUGGGAAAGAAAAGCAGCAGGUUAAUACCCCGCUGUUCUGACGGUACCCAAAGAAUAAGCACCGGCUAACUUCGUG